GGGAGCACUUCUUCGUGGUAGUAACAGAGGGUUCGAUCAUGGCUCAGAUUGAACGCUUAUGGAUGCUUUACAUGCAAGUCGAACGGCAGCACGGACUUCGGUCUGGUGGCGAGUGGCGAACGGGUGAGUAAUGUAUCGGAACGUGCCUAGUAGCGGGGGAUAACUGACAGAAAGCGGUGUAGCUAAUACCGUGCCAUUGCCCUUCGGGAAAGCGGGGACCUUCGGGCUCGCGGCACUAUUAGAGCGGCCGAUAUCGGAUUAGCUAGUUGGUGGGGUAACGGCUCACCAAGGCGACGAUCCGUAGCUGGCUGAGGACGACCAGCCACACUGGGACUGAGACACGGCCCAGACUCCUACGGGAGGCAGCAGGGAAUUUUGGACAAUGGGGGAAACCCUGAUCCAGCCAUCCCGCGUGUGCGAUGAAGGCCUCGGGCUGUAAAGCACUUUUGGCAGAAGAAACGGCAUGGAUAAUACCCAACUGACGGUACCUGCAGAAUAAGCACCGGCUACUACGUGCCACAGCAGCCGCGGUAAUACGUAGGGCGUAAGCGUUAAUCAAUUUGAUGGGCGUAAAAGCGUGCGCAGGCGGUUCGGAAAGAAAGAUGUGAAAUCCCAGAGCUUAAUCUUGGAACUACAUUUUUAACUACCGGGCUAGAGUGUGUCAGGAGGGAGGUGGAAUUCCGCGUAGUGCAGUGAAAUGCGUAGAUAUGCGGAGGAACACCGAUGGCGAAGGCAGCCUCCUUGGGAUAACACUGACGCUCAUGCACGAAAGCGUGGGGAGCAAACAGGAUUAGAUACCCCAGUCUCACGCCCUAAACGAUGUCAACUAGCUGUUGGGGCCUUCGGGCCUUGGUAGCGCAGCUAACGCGUGAAGUUGACCGCCUGGGAGUACGGUCGCAAGAUUAAACUCAAGUGGAGGGGAAUUGACGGGGACCGCAUAAGCGGUGGAUGAUGUGGAUUAAUUCGAUGCAACGCGAAAACUUACCUACCCUUGACAUGUCUGGAAUGCCGAAGAGAUUUGGCAGUGCUCGCAAGAGAACCGGAACACAGGUGCUGCAUGGCUGUCGUCAGCUCGUGUCGUGAGAUGUUGGGUUAAGUCCCGCAACGAGCGCAACCUCAGCCACAGCUGGCAUGAAAGGGCACUUAUCGAGACUGCCGGUGACAAACCGGAGGAAGGUGGGGAUGACGUCAAGUCCUCAUGGCCCUUAUGGGUAGGGUCACGACGGUCAUACAAUGGUCGGGACAGAGGGUCGCCAACCCGCGAGGGGGAGCCAAUCCCAGAAACCCGAUCGUAGUCCGGAUCGCAGUCUGCAACUCGACUGCGUGAAGUCGGAAUCGCUAGUAAUCGCGGAUCAGCAUGUCGCGGUGAAUACGUUCCGGUCUUGUACACACCGCCCGUCACACCAUGGGAGUGGGUUUUACCAGAAGUAGUUAGCCUAACUGCAAGGGGGCGACGGCCACGGUAGGAUUCAUGACUGGGGUGAAGUCGUAACAAGGAAG
Molecule: ribosomal RNA, 1500 nt
Filed under: uncultured Bordetella sp.
Lineage: Bacteria; Pseudomonadati; Pseudomonadota; Betaproteobacteria; Burkholderiales; Alcaligenaceae
Description: partial 16S-23S ribosomal RNA intergenic spacer
Rfam family: Bacterial small subunit ribosomal RNA
Source: RNAcentral